RNAcentral lists this ribosomal RNA (250 nucleotides) under uncultured prokaryote. RNAcentral's name for it is "partial 16S rRNA". It matches the Rfam family "Bacterial small subunit ribosomal RNA", at positions 525 to 775 of the family's 1533-position model. The record is from RNAcentral.
AAGUAGGUGGCGAGAGUUAUACGGAUUUAUUGGGCGUAAAGCGUGAGAAGACGGUUUACUAAGUCUAAAAUUAAAGCCGGAAGCUUAACUUCGGUUCGUUUUAGAAACUGGUAGGCUUGAGUAUGGUAGAGGCAAAUGGAAUUUCUAGUGUAGCGUUAAAAUGCGUAGAUAUUAGAAGGAACAUCAGUGGCGAAGGCGAUUUGCUGGGCCAUUACUGACUUUCAUGCACGAAAGCGUGUGGAGCAAAUAU